Molecule: long non-coding RNA, 451 nt
Filed under: Salmo salar (Atlantic salmon)
Lineage: Eukaryota; Metazoa; Chordata; Actinopteri; Salmoniformes; Salmonidae
Description: lncRNA (ENSSSAG00000108516.1, ENSSSAG00020073618.1, ENSSSAG00075034874.1)
Source: RNAcentral
GACUGAAGUACAUACUAUACUGUAAGAAAAGGUAAGGUUGAACGCCUCCUCUCUUACUCUGCCUCCCGAAAAAAGCUUCUUCCAAGCAGGUGUGACAUCUACUCGCAUGGCCUGCUGCUUGGAACCCACCUGGCAAUCUGUUCCACGUCUGCCCUGGCCUGUCUCUCCCUGUCUAGUACAGACCUAUCUGCUGCCUUUGAUACUGUGAACCAUCAGAUCCUCCUCUCCACUCUCUCCGAGUUGGGCAUCUCCGGCGCGGCCCACGCUUGGAUUGCAUCCUACCUGACAGGCGGCGAAUCGCAUCUCUGCAUGUCUGUCAGACAUAUCAGUGUGGAUGACGGAUCACCAGCUCAAGCUGAACCUCGGCAAGACGGAGCUGCUCUUCCUCCCGGGGAAGGACUGCCCCUUCCAUGAUCUCGCCAUCACGGUUGACAACUCCCUUGUGUCCUCC